Long non-coding RNA from Oncorhynchus kisutch (coho salmon), 592 nucleotides. RefSeq lists it as uncharacterized. The record is from RefSeq and is a predicted model, not a curated record. The transcript is spliced from 3 exons. Lineage: Eukaryota; Metazoa; Chordata; Actinopteri; Salmoniformes; Salmonidae.
GUCAACCGCGUUUAACCCGAACCCUUCAAGGUCACCCAAGUUGAGUUUCACGUCGAAGGUAUCAACGUCAACGAAAGUCAAUCUUAAUCGAACCUAACAUACAUGGAUAAAAAUAUAAACCAUGGAAAGACACGUUAGUGAGUUAUUGGAGGGCGAGAGUCCCAAAAUGUACAAAUGCAGCGGCAGUCAACUUCAUCACUGCCCCUUCGGCACAUAUAAGGCUGAACAAUAUAUGGUCAACAACUACAUCAAAGGUCAACAACCACAUCAAAGGUCAUGCUUCAGUGAGGCACAGAGAGUUCACAAUCAUGAAGUAUGGCUUCAGUUGUAGAAAUGCGACACACUUUCAUUGUUGCUAUUGCACGGCACGUUUCUGAAGCACCUGACAUACCAUCAGCAUCCAGUGGCCCUUCAAGAGCACCCAGAGGCCCGGUGUUAUGUUAUUUAGUAAAGAUGAUGUAGAUGUCACCCGGGUCUCUGAUGUCUUUACUGGAACUGGUAUAACUUAAUGUAAACUCAAAAAAAGAAACGUCCCUUUUUCAGGACCCUGUCUUUCAAAGAUAAUUCGUAAAAAUCCACCUAUGCACCUGUG